This is an RNA transcript of Anopheles stephensi (Asian malaria mosquito), 13234 nucleotides long. It is a transcript of the gene named protocadherin-like wing polarity protein stan, with no coding region annotated. The record is from RefSeq and is a predicted model, not a curated record. The transcript is spliced from 9 exons. Lineage: Eukaryota; Metazoa; Arthropoda; Insecta; Diptera; Culicidae.
ACGGAGAAGGAGGGUGUUCGUCGUAGAGUAGCAUUUAAAUGGAUUUAUUUAAAUGAAAUCUUAACUUGUCCCAUCCAAAACUAUCUGCAAAGUGUGUGCGAAGGCUUUUGCCACAACCGGUGAUAAAGUGUAGCAGCGAAAAAAUCUUCUACCAUGUCCGGCAGUGUGAAACGCUAGUGAGAAAAACUUAGGCUAGAAACGCGGAACAACAAACGGAAACACCGGAAACAAUUCGCCAUGAACGUGCAACGGUGCAAUCUGGCGGCGAGGCUUGCUCUGAUAGCGGUGCUUCUUCAGCUGAUGUUGCUAUGUAGCACAUGCAAUGGAUACAUGAUAAUAGCAAACGAAGAUGACGAACCGGGCAAGGUGCUGUUCAACUCCUCCGUGUACAAGCUCGGCUCGGAACGGCAGUACAAGAUCAAUGCGCACAAAUCGGCCCACUACGUGCACCAUCUGCUGCGGGUAGAUCCGGAAAAUGGGCAAGUGAGCCUGAAGCGCAAGCUGCAGUGUGAUGGCAUCUACUAUCCUACACUAUUUACGUUUUACGUCGACUCUACCUCGAACAGACUGCGUAGCAUAGACUAUUACAGCUUACCGAUAAGGAUAUUUAUCGUCGGGCGCAAUUGCUCCGACGAGGACGAAACGGUAGCGGCUAGCUUUCGGAAGCUCUUCGAGGAGGAUGAUACCGGCUACCAUCAUCAUCAACACUACCAGCGAUACAAACGGGAGGCUGUGUAUCGCUUAGCAACGGAGGACGAUACUCCUCUGCCAGGACGGGGGGAAGAUGAGUUUGAAGAGAACGAUCAACGCAUGUACGGAGAGUAUUUGGGCGAUCGGUUCCAUUACUAUCGCUCCGAGUAUCCGUGGUUGGCAGCGACAUCCGUCACCAACUACACGACAUUUCGCGAAGGAGAUGUCCUGUUCGAUACCGUGCUGGAGAACGAAUAUCGGCAUGGAAUCAUCACGCGAAAGCGGCGUGAAAUUCGGGACCUGCCAGCCGAUCGCAUUCAUCGCAAAAUUGCCGAUGCCAAGCAGUGGAUAUCGGAAACGUACGCAUCGUAUGCGAUCCACACGACCGACAAGUGGAAACACAUUUGUCUCAAGAAAUCGCAGUACAUCAACUCGAUCAGUGCAUUCCUGCCGAAGACGGUGCUGCAUCACUGCUCCGUGCGGUAUUUGGAUGUGAACGAUGAACGGUUUGAAAUUGAAACGCGUACCGGUGAUUUGAUCGCGACGGGCGAUCUGUGCAUUCCUGAAACGCUGUGGAAAGUGAUCAUAACGUAUAAUGUGAGGUGCGAUCGGAAGGACAUCAUCGAUGCCGAUCAUCGACUGAAGAUAGUGUACCAUCAUCAGGAACUGAACGAUACAGAUAUAGCGAAGCGCGUUCGUAGGGAGUUGCGAAAUCAAAGUCCCUACUUCGAGCAAGCACUAUAUGUGGCCUCCGUGCUGGAGGAACAGCCUUCCGGUGCAAACGUUAUCACGGUGCGGGCCCGCGAUCCAGAGGAUUCGCCCGUGGUAUAUUCGCUCGUCUCGCUGCUAGAUUCGCGGUCCCAGGCAAUGUUCAAGGUCGACUCGCGCACAGGCGUUGUCACCACUUCUUCCACGCUCGACCGGGAACUGAUGGACGUACACUAUUUUCGUGUUAUAGCGACGGAUGACAGCUUUCCGCCCCGUUCCGGCACCACCACGCUGCAGGUGAACGUGCUCGAUUGUAACGAUCACACGCCAACGUUCGAGGCGGAACAAUUCCACGCGACCGUGCGUGAGGGAGUGAGCGUCGGUUCGACCGUGAUAACGAUACGUGCCACGGACCAGGAUAUCGGUAAAAAUGCUGACAUCGAGUAUGCCAUCACCAGCAUCGUGGGAGAAAAUCAAGACCAGCUAACGUCGGCGUUGGGGCUGGAUGGAGCCAAUGGGGCCCAUCCGGUGGAGAACGAUAGCAGCGAUUCACAAAAAUUCCGCAUCGAUGCACGCAGUGGAACGAUAUCCACACGCAGCGCACUGGACCGGGAAGUGUCGGGCAUGUACACAAUAAUGGUAACUGCUACCGAUAUGGCCACCCCGCAAACGGAGCGUAAAUCGGCCACUACGACGGUGCUGGUUAAGAUUCUGGACGAUAACGACAACUAUCCGCAGUUUAGCGAGCGAACGUACACGGUGCAGGUGCGCGAGGAUCAGUGGGCGAAUGAAAACAACGUGAUUGCCCACAUUCAAGCGACGGAUGCUGACCAGGGAAAUAAUGCUGCAAUUCGCUAUGCAAUCAUCGGUGGCAACACGCAAUCCCAGUUUUCCAUCGACUCGAUGAGCGGCGAUGUGUCACUGGUGAAGCCGUUGGACUACGAAAGUGUGAGAAGCUAUCGGUUGGUGAUUCGCGCCCAAGACGGAGGAAGUCCUUCGCGCUCCAACACAACACAGCUGCUGGUGAACGUCCUUGACGCGAAUGAUAAUGCGCCGCGAUUCUACACCUCCCAGUUUCAGGAGGCAGUGCUGGAAAGUGUCCCGGUAGGAUAUAAUAUUGUGCGCGUGCAGGCGUACGAUUCCGACGAAGGAGCAAAUUCGGAGAUAACGUACAGCAUACAGAACCGGGACGAUGGGAUGCCGCUGGCGGUUGAUCCACGGACUGGUUGGAUACACACGACGAAGGGGUUGGAUCGGGAGGAGCAGAGCCGGUACAGCUUUCAGGUGGUCGCUGUCGAUGGAGGAAUUCCUCCGAAAUCGGCGAGCACAUCGGUCAUUGUGACGAUUCAGGACGUGAACGAUAAUGAUCCGACCUUCAGCCCCAAAUACUAUGAGGCGAUGUUGGCCGAAGAUCAACCACCGGGCACGCCAGUGACAACGGUGACGGCCACCGAUCCGGAUGAGGACUCGAGACUACACUACGAAAUAACUGCGGGCAACACACGUGGCCGCUUUGCAAUAACAUCACAAAAUGGGCGAGGAUUGAUAACGAUCGCACAACCGUUGGAUUAUAAACAGGAGCGUCGGUUUGCUCUUACCAUAACUGCCACCGACAGUGGCCAGCGGACAGACACGGCCAUAGUAAACAUAAACAUCACCGAUGCCAACAACUUUGCUCCCGUGUUUGAGAAUGCUCCCUACAGUGCUUCCGUGUUCGAGGAUGCUCCCAUCGGCACCACGGUGCUGGUAGUGUCUGCUUCGGAUAGCGAUGUCGGAAUCAACGCGCAGAUAACGUACCUGCUGAACGAUGAAUCCGUAAAUGGGCUAGGCGCGAACGAACCGUUCACCAUUAACGCACAAACGGGAGCUAUCAUAACGAACGCCAAGCUGGAUCGCGAAAGUACGAGUGGCUACCUGUUGACGGUAACGGCAAAGGACGGUGGGAAUCCUUCGCUUAGCGAUACCACCGACGUGGAAAUCAGUGUGACGGAUGUGAAUGAUAAUGCGCCGGCAUUUAAAGUACCUCUGUAUCAAGCAACGAUCCCCGAGGAUGCCUUAAUUGGAACGUCGGUGGUACAGAUCGGUGCUACUGAUCUGGACAUGGGGCUGAAUGGUCGUGUAAAGUACGCUCUCAGUCAGAAGGAUAUGGACGAAGGCUCGUUUGUGGUGGAUCCAAUCUCCGGUGUGAUCCGUACGAAUAAAGGACUCGAUCGAGAGAGUAUUCCCGUGUAUCAUCUGACGGCCAUUGCAAGCGACAAGGGCACGCCGACAAUGAGCAGCAGCGUUGAGGUGCAAAUUCGGCUGGAUGACGUGAACGAUUCGCCGCCUACAUUCCCCUCGGACAAGCUGACAUUGUACGUGCCAGAGAACAGCCCGGUAGGAUCGGUGGUCGGAGAGAUAUACGCGCACGAUCCCGACGAGGGUGUGAAUGCGAUCGUGCACUAUUCGAUCAUUGGUGGAGAUGAUUCGAAUUCCUUUUCGCUCGUAACACGACCCGGAUCGGACCGGGCACAGCUGCUGACGAUGACGGAACUGGAUUACGAAUCACCGCGCAAACGUUUCGAGCUGAUCAUACGGGCGGCAAGUCCUCCGCUCAGAAACGACGUGUAUGUGGAGAUAUUGGUAACGGACGUUAACGACAAUGCGCCCGUGCUGCGUGAUUUUCAAGUAAUCUUCAACAAUUUCCGAGACUGUUUCCCCAGCGGAGUGAUCGGCCGUAUUCCUGCGUUCGAUGCCGACGUAACGGACAAACUUACGUACCGUAUCCUUUCGGGGAACAAUGCAAACUUGUUAAGGUUGAACAGCUCGACCGGAGGCUUAACGCUAAGCCCGCAACUUAACACGAACGUACCCAAAUUUGCAACGAUGGAAGUUUCGGUAACGGAUGGGAUUAAUGAGGCGAAAGCGAUCAUGCAGCUAAUCGUGCGGCUCAUUACGGAGGAUAUGCUGUUCAACUCGGUCACGGUUCGUUUGGACGAGAUGACAGAGGAAGCGUUCCUGUCGCCGCUUCAUAGCUUCUUCCUCGAUGGGCUAGCCGCCAUCAUACCGUGUCCGAAAGAGAACAUCUUCCUAUUUUCGAUUCAAGAAGACAUCGAUGUUAGUGGCAAGAUAUUGAACGUGAGCUUUUCGGCGCGCAGACCCGACGUGGCGUUCGAAGAGUACUACAGUUCGCAGUAUCUGCAGGAAAGGAUCUACCUGAAUCGAGCAAUACUGGCACGGCUGGCAACCGUUCGUGUGCUACCGUUUGAUGAUAAUCUGUGCGUGCGAGAGCCAUGUCUAAACUACGAGCAAUGCUUGUCGGUGUUGAAGUUUGGUAACGCGUCAGGAUUUAUACACAGCGAUACGGUUCUGUUCCGCCCGAUACAUCCAGUCAACACGUUUGCCUGCAAGUGUCCGGAAGGAUUUACGGGCAGCAGAGAGCACUAUCUUUGCGAUACGGAAGUCGACCUGUGCUACUCGGAUCCUUGCCAGAACGGUGGAAGCUGUGUACGACGGGAGGGAGGGUAUUCGUGUGUAUGUACGGAACAGUACACCGGUGUUAAUUGUGAAACGUCGAUUGCAGGUUUGAAACCGUGCAUUUCGGAAGUCUGUGGCGACGGUUACAGUUGCCUUACCAGUGGCCACGGAGGACAUUGGCCACCGUACACCAAAACGUGCGAGCUAAUGUCGCGAUCGUUUACGAGAAAUUCGUUCCUCACUUUUCCGGGAAUGAGACAACGGCAUCGGUUUAACAUACGGCUAAAGUUUGCGACGGUGCGCGACAGUGGGCUUUUGUUGUACAAUGGACGUUACAACGAGCAGCACGACUUUAUCGCUCUCGAAAUCAUCAACGGGAAGGUUAUGUUUUCCUUCUCGCUUGGCGACAAAGUGGAAACAGUGACGGUUAACCAGCAGCGUAAGGUAUCCGAUGGCAAUUGGCACACGGUGGAGGUGAAGUACUUCAACCGUACGGUGUUACUCUCCCUCGACAACUGUGACACUGCCACUGCAUUAGCCGGCCUUGGAGAGCGCUGGAAUUGUGCGAAUCAAACGACGCUGGUGCUGGACCGACGGUGUGCCUCACUAGUGGAACCGUGUCACCGAUUUUUCGACCUUACCGGUCCACUACAGAUCGGCGGUUUGCCCAAGAUUCCGGCCUACUUCCAGAUACGCUCGCACAGCUUUAUCGGUUGCAUUUCGGACCUCUACAUCGACCAGCGAUACGUGGACCUGGGUGCGUACAUUGCGGACAAUGGAACGGUGGCAGGCUGCCCGCAGAAAGCAGCCUCGUGUGCAUCGGAACCGUGCUUUAAUGGAGGAACGUGCCGGGAGGGCUGGGGCGAAGGAUGGGAAUGUGACUGUCCCGACGGUUUCACGGGCAAUGCGUGUCAGGAGUCUGUGGCAUUGCCAUGGCGUUUCCAUGGUGAUGGCAUACUUAGCUUCAACCCGUUGCUGCGUCCCAUUCAGCUACCCUGGCUGACUGCGUUCUCGUUGCGGACUCGCAAACGUGACACGUUCGUGAUGGAAAUCCAGGUUGGACAGAACAGUUCAGCGGUUGUGUCCCUGCGCGGCGGCAUCCUGCAAUACCUGUAUAACGGCGAGCCGUUGCAGCUAGCCGGUGCAGACCUGGCCGACGGUCGCUGGCAUCGAGUGGAGAUCAAGUGGAUGGGUACGGAGGUGUCCCUUACGGUCGACUACGGCCAACGAAACGGUGUGCUUCCGGUGACGCAAAAGAUCCAGGGCUUGUACGUGGGCCGCAUCGUGAUCGGUGGAUUGGAGGGAACGAUCGGCCAGCACUAUGGAGGUCCGUCAGAAAACUAUGAAGGAUGCAUUCAGGACGUACGUGUCGGGGGUGUACAGUCCGUGCUGAAGCGUCCAACGGUGCGCGAAAACGUACUGGAUGGGUGCGCUUCGAAUGCAAAGUGUCCAGACGAUUGUCCGGAAGAAUCAACCUGCGUCAGCACCUGGGAUGAAGCGUAUUGCGAGUGUUUGCAUGGAUUUGUAGGCAACGAGUGUAAACCCGUCUGCACGGUGAAGCCCUGCUCGGAUAAUGGCAUCUGUCGGGCUGACACGAUCAACACCAAGGGCUAUCGGUGUGAGUGCAACAGUAGCUUAAGCUCGGGAGAGUACUGCGAAAACACGGUGCAGCAACCGUGUCCCGCUGGGUGGUGGGGCGAACGGAGCUGUGGACCAUGCAAAUGUAACGUUAAGCAGGGCUAUCAUCCAAACUGUGACAAAAGCACGGGACAGUGCUACUGCAGGGAGAAUCACUACCAACCGGUAAACGACACGGUCUGUCUACCCUGCGAGUGUUACACGGUUGGAUCGUACGGCAAAUCGUGCAACAGCUCGGGCCAGUGCGAAUGUCGCGAGGGAGUCAUCGGUCGGCGAUGUGACUCCUGUUCGAAUCCUUACGCGGAGGUAACGCUGAAUGGUUGUGAGGUUGUGUACGACGGUUGCCCCAAAUCACACUCGGCCGGCUUGUGGUGGCCCCGUACAGCGUUUGGAGAGCUAGCCGUGGAGAAUUGCCCAGCGCCAGCGCGAGGCAAAGGCACUAGACGCUGCGAUCAGGUGCAGAGCGGUUGGGGUACGCCCGAUAUGUUCAACUGCACUUCGGAAGCGUUUUUGGAUCUUCGCAAGCAGCUGUCGCAAAUAGAAGUCGACGGGCUGGAGCUGAACACAUUCAUUUCGGUCAAAGUGGCAGCAAAUCUACAGCAGGCGUGUGUUAGCGUGGGAGGACAAGCUAACGAUAAUGAUGGCAAUGGAGUGCGCGAUAGUCGCAUGAAGGAUUUCUACACGAUCGAUUCGGAAAAAUCGAUGGGAAGCGCGGGUGUGUCGCUUUGGCGAGAGGACGACUUUGAGCUGGAUUACCUGCUCAAUGAUGGGCAAUCGUUCGUACAAAGCAAACUGUACGGAGCGGAUCUGCUGAUCACCGACCGUAUGCUGCAUGAGCUAAUGCGCUACGAAUCUUACCAGCAAGGAUUGAACCUUUCGCACAGCCAGGACAAGCACUACGUUCGCAAUCUGGUGGAAAGCGCAGGCGAGAUACUGGAUCGAAGGUAUGCGAACGAGUGGAAAAGGGUCGUUGAUCUUACCGGCCGUGGACCGGAUGAUUUGGUGGAUGCGUUCAAUCAGUACAUGAUCGUGCUGGCACGAUCGCAACACGACACGUACACAAAUCCCUUCGAGAUUGUCCACAAGAACAUGGUGCUCGGUAUGGAUAUUGUAACGACGGAGUCACUGUUCGGAUACGAGUCGCAGAUGGUAAAGCAGUACAAUGGCGGCAAACAACAGGCCAAAGGAAAGCAAGAACACGCUGGUCAACACCCGGAGACGGUUGUUCUGCCUGAUACAAGCUCAUUUUUACAAAACUCGCCCAAGCAGAAGCAGCCGAUGAUAGCGUUCCCGAAGUACAACAACUACAUCCAGGAUCGGUCAAAGUUUGAUCGCCACACAAAGGUGCUUGUUCCGUUGGACAUGCUGGGCAUAACGGCACCGGACAAGAACGAGGUGGUGAAUCAACUCACGGAGCACCGAGCAAUUUUUACCUACGCCCAGUACAAGGACGCGGGAGAACUGUUUCCAGCCAAUUUUGAUGAAACCGUAACGCGCCGCUGGGGUGUAGAAAUGCAGAUCGCUAGCAGUGUUCUGUCGAUCGCGAUCGUAACACCAACCACCGGUAAAGAAUCUUACACGUUCCAAACGUUCCCUUCUUCAGGAGGGCUGGAAAAGCCCGGCACUAAUCACGUGGAACUGUUUGCUACUCCACCACCCGCAAAGCAUGGAUCAGAUCGAACGAAUGAAAAGUUAACGCUGAACGAAAUUAAAAUAUCUAUACACGAUAUGAGCGAUCAGGACGAAGGAUUGGACACGCUGGAUCAGCAUGCACCGCAGCUCCCGAUGGUAAACACACCAGAGCAUGAUGGGGAGGACUUUUUCCCCGCUGAUGAUCUUCCCGAAGCAGUAGUUUUAGCGAGAGGAGGCGAUAAGUCAGCUUCGAAUGAGCGACUGCAAGAAGAGCCUCUCCGGAAGCGACGCAGAAGCAUUGUAACGGCGGCCGACGAUGGUGCCACAGAAGCGCCAGAGAUCGACACGACGUCUCGCACCAGUUAUGCACCGCUCGGCCAAACACAUCUGAAGCAAGCGCUAAAAUUGCAAAUGUGGUUAAACAUUCCGAGGAACCGUUUUGUUUCACGCUCCAACCCACAGUGUGUCCGAUGGAACACGCAUGCAAACCUGUGGACACGAAUCGGCUGUCAGACCGAGAUACCGAACUACGAAUCCAUCGGUAGCAACGAUACGAUUAUAGUGAACUGUACCUGCAACCAGCUGGCCACGUACGCUGUGCUGGUAGACAUCAUCGAUCCGGAGGACAUACCCGAACCGUCGCUGCUAGUCCAGAUUACAUCGUACUCGGCAUUUUUGCUUUCGUUGCCGAUCCUUUUUGCGGUUAUCAUAUCGUUGGCGCUGCUUCGCGGGCUUCAGACAAACUCGAACAGCAUUCAUCAGAACUUGCUGUUUUGCAUUUUCACCGCCGAGCUGCUGUUCUUUGUAGCCAUUCAGGCUCGUAGAGAUCUGCUGGACAAUGAGUUCCCCUGCAAACUGGUCGCCAUUGCGUUACAUUAUUCUUGGCUGGCAGCAUUUGCGUGGACCACGGUGGAUUGCGUGCAUCUGUACCGGAUGUUAACGGAAAUGCGCGACAUUAACCAUGGACCGAUGGGUUUCUAUCAUACGAUAGGUUACGGUGCACCUGCCUUACUGGUGGGACUUUCCGUCGGUGUACGAGUACAUGAGUACGGGAACAGUUUGUUCUGUUGGCUUUCGGUGUACGAGUCCGUUAUCUGGUGGAUGGUUGGACCGAUCGCCAUCGUUUCAGUGUUCGAUCUGUUUAUCCUGUUCCUAUCGGUAAAAGCGGCAUUCACGAUCAAGGAUCAUGUGCUAGGGUUCGGUAACCUGCGCACGUUGCUUUGGUUGUCCGUCGUGUCGCUUCCGCUGCUUGGCAUUAUGUGGGUUCUAGCAGUGCUUUCGGCGUCAGAAAAUUCACAACUGCUCAACAUGCUUCUAUCGGCGGUGAUCAUUAUGCACUCGCUUUUCUCCGUGAUUGGAUACUGCAUAAUUAACAAACGAGUGCGAGAAAAUUUGCAUAACGCAUUUUUGCGCUGCAUUGGCCGUAAAGUGCCACUGCUCGAAUCGUCGAUCGCCAUCAGCAACAGUUCGCAGAACGUAGGCUCACCCAAAACGCCCGGAUUUGCGGGUAGCUCGGGUGGGGGGCAGUAUGACACGGCCAGGCGAAACAUCGGCAUCAGCACGUCAAGCACCACUUCGCGCAGCACGGCCAAAACUAGCUCCAGCCCGUAUCGUAGCGAUGGUCAGUUUAGGCACACCUCAACCUCUACCUCCAACUAUAACAGCGACGGAGUGGCCUCGUAUAUGCGUGGACAUUAUGACGACAGUGCGCUGCGGAAGAUGAAAAGCAGUGGCCAAGGACGGGACGGGGAGCGUCGAAGCCAUAGAAGACAUCGCCGAGAUUCGGACUCUGGCAGUGAGACUGAUGGCAGGAGCCUGGAGCUUGCCUCGAGCCACUCAAGCGAUGAUGAAGAGUCGCGUGUCGGACGUAACAGUAGCACGCAUCGUAGCACUGGUGUAUGCAGUACGUCGUACCUACCAAACAUUACAGAACAUGUGGCAACGACUCCUCCUGAGCUGCAUGUCGUGCAGAGUCCACAGCUGUUCCCGAACGUGACACCGACCAGAUGGCCCACGCAGAAUGCUGGCAAUUAUUUACCACCUGGAAAUGGGCGCUGGUCACAGGAAACCGCUUCAGAUAACGAAGCCCAUCCGCACAAAUCGCCAACCAACGGUGGUUCGCUACCGAACCCAGACAUCACGGAAACUUCCUACCUUCAUCAGAACCGCAUGAACAUGCCACCGUCGAUUUUGGAAAACAUUCAAGAAAACUACAACAUCGGCUAUUCAAACACGGACCCGCACGGUGAUCGCAAUUAUAGUAAUUACGGCAACACGGACAAUUACGUGCCACCGGAUUAUGCGAAACGGUACGACUCGCAAGCGUCGGUAAAUCCUGCUAGCACUCUUCCCCAUCAUUACGCCUCAUCGGUGCACGGCAGUACCACCGGUGGAGGGGUACCGAUUGCCGAAGCACGUCAUACCGGAUCGAUGCAGGUCAUCAAUCACAUGCGUGCCUAUCAGCACGAAAAUCCCUACGCACUGAAAGAAUCCCUUUACGAACGAUCACGAACACUGGGGUAUGGUUCGAGUGGUGGAGGUGCCGAGUCACCCUAUCACGCGCAUCCGCUUGCCACUCCCAACGACUUGUACAGCCCUCCCGGAUCGCAUGUCAUGUCAUUCAAAUCGAGCGUACAAUCGCUGCUUAAGAACGAUUACCAGCAGCAACAGCGCCAACAGCAUAAGCAUCAUCAGGCAGGAGGCAAUGGUGGCGAAUCGGACCGAAUGUCGGAAGGAUCGGAUAAAAAUCCGUACAACUUUCCGUACACUGCCGAGGAGGACCAUCUGGUGCACAGUAAUGGUGCGUCCAGGAUGCAUCACACCGCAGGGAUGGAAAGCAUGGGACCAAUGGAGCACAUGAUUGCUUCCAGCUCUCCAGCACCACCUCCGCAGCUACUUGCGCGGGGCCCAGAGGGUGGACUUUCGCCGGCACCGCUGCAAUCUAUGGGACAGUUUAAUGCGGCAAAUGACUGGUGUUGGGACCGUCUAAAAAUGUUAGAGUAAACCGAGUCACCCCCUGUUGUGCAACCCAAGGAACUGGGAGAUAACAUAUAACCUAAACACAAAUUAUCAACAAGGGAACAACAAAAUAUGUGUAACCAAUGAGGACGAUGAAACAACCGUCUAGUCUGCAACAUUCGAUAAAAUAGUUUGUAGCGGUUGUUGUACUGUACGAAUUGCCGUGUACCGUAUUCUACACAUGCGCAACAUGCUCUCUAUACAAAUGCAUCACAACAACACAAAAUACUCCCCGCCGAUGCGUUCGAUCGCGGAUCCGCUCCGGUGUUUACGUGUGUAUAUUUACGAAAGAAUGGGACAAAAGCAAAUGAACCCACGGACAAAGUUUUGUAAUAUAUUUAUAUUAUCAACUAUAGCAUGAGAGUGUAGAGCCACGGGGCUCAACAACGAGUGGUGCUGCCUGCAUUCAUGGUUUUGGAUGUAUAUAUUUAUACAGAUCGAUUUAAGAUAUACAAUGACGAUUGUGCUCGGUACCGUAUCUUUAAUCAAUCCCACAUACGCUGCCCGCUUUUGCUUUGUGUUCUCAAUCCUAUUUCCGUGUACCUCUUUUAUGAACCGGUAUGAAAAACCCGGUACAGCAACUAGUUACUUACCAGAUGCUCGAUGUUCAAACUAGUGCAAACAGCCUGCAUUACAACAGACAGCUUCGAAGGAAAAGCGCAAAUUAAUAUGUUUUUUUAUCUAAAACACAAAAACUCCCAUCGGGGAAGAUAAAGAUGCUUCAACUGCAUGCCAUGCUGCAAGCGAGCGGGAGCAAAACUGCGAGCACUCUGCUGCCUUGAGUAUAGUAUUGUUAAAACGAUUAAUGUGGCUUUCAAAAUCGUAACCGAAUAGUAGGUGUUAAACAUGUAUGUAGCGCAAUGUGCUUUUUAUACGAUCGUUCAGCUGGGUUUUCAGAGACAAAGAGGAAGCAUAGGGUACAAUUUUGCGACAAAAAUAAAGCGUGUAACAAAGUGUAGAGCAAGCGAAUUCAGCGCUGCAGAGAAACGCGAAGAAUGAAAGUGCCUGAAAGUAGGUGAAUUUUUGUGUUAGAUUUGUUUCGAAACCGGAGACAGCAGCAGCAGCAGCAGCAGCAGCAUGUAGAGCUAAAUUUUUACGGCUAUAAUCAAUUUUAAUUUGCACCUUAAGUGAGUGUGGAAGCGAGCUUUUUUAUAUGUAUCAUGUUUUCGCAAGCAAACUGAUCUGAGAGAGAAAAGGGAAAGGGACUUAUUCAAAAGACUUAUUGCAGCUUUUACUGCUUACUGCCAUACCGUAGAAAAUCCGAUAACAGUUAAAUUAUUUUAGUAACUAAGCUUUUUAAAAAAAACACACACACACACACACACACACUUUCUACAACAGGUUUGCUUUAGUAGUGUCCUUGUUCCAAGCGACCGAACGGUAUUCUCGUGCUUAAUUUUAACGACACCCCCAAAGUGAUGGUCAUGAGCCACGACGCUAGCACACAACAUUCCAUCCAUCGAUUUUAUCUCCAAACUUUAGUUCGUAUACAAACAACUGUAAACCACCGGCGUUGUGCAGGUUCUCGCUGUAGAGAGAGAACUACCGAGAGCCACACAACCACAAUGGUGCUAAGCGACACCCCAGUGAUAUAUAUUUUUGUACUUGAGAUUUUAACCCCCGUACCCGUGUAGAACGCUGUAUUUUUUUAGUUAACGUAAACCAAUGCACUAUUCUAAUGGCGUGUAAUGUGCUCGCCUGUGCUCAGAAGACGGUGUAAGAUCUAGGCGUUUUUAAUUCACACACAUUCCUUCCUUAGGUUUUAUUCUUCCGUUUGGAGUACGCGUGCUGAGUAAUUUUGACUGUGUAAUGCAAUAGUGAGAUUUUUAAAUUGUUUGCUUUCGUAUAGUAGCAUUUGUUAGGUAAGAUCAUAUACACAUAACAUAACAUUCACGGUGCACCGUGAAGCCCCAAGGUGUGGCGUGACGGUUUACCGAGGCCGCUCCGUGCAGAGGGCACAAACACAACACAAAAAUGGCAGGAAAAGACAUGCUAGAGUUUAAGACAUUCCUAAAAACUCAUGAAUUAUUUUCAUGCAGAGUGAAGAGAAGAGCAACAACAAUAAACUUAAAUGACCAUGUGACCAUAGGGA